GAUGAACGCUGGCGGCGUGCUUAACACAUGCAAGUCGAACGGAAAGGCUCCUGCUUGCUGGGGUACUCGAGUGGCGAACGGGUGAGUAACACGUGGGUGAUCUGCCCUGCACUUCGGGAUAAGCCUGGGAAACUGGGUCUAAUACCGGAUAGGACGUUGGUUUGGAUGCCAUUGUGGAAAGUUUUUCGGUGUGGGAUGAGCUCGCGGCCUAUCAGCUUGUUGGUGGGGUAGUGGCCUACCAAGGCGUCGACGGGUAGCCGGCCUGAGAGGGUGUACGGCCACAUUGGGACUGAGAUACGGCCCAGACUCCUACGGGAGGCAGCAGUGGGGAAUAUUGCACAAUGGGCGGAAGCCUGAUGCAGCGACGCCGCGUGGGGGAUGACGGCCUUCGGGUUGUAAACCGCUUUCGCUAGGGACGAAGCGUGAGUGACGGUAACUGGUGAAGAAGCACCGGCUAACUACGUG
Molecule: ribosomal RNA, 465 nt
Filed under: uncultured bacterium
Lineage: Bacteria
Description: partial 16S ribosomal RNA
Rfam family: Bacterial small subunit ribosomal RNA
Source: RNAcentral